ACGUAGGGCGCGAGCGUUGUCCGGAUUUAUUGGGCGUAAAGAGCUCGUAGGCGGUUCAUUGCGUCGUCGGUGAAAACUUGAGGCUCAAUCUCAAGCUUGCCGUCGAUACGGGUGGGCUGGAGUUCGGUAGGGGAGACUGGAAUUCCAGGUGUAGCGGUGAAAUGCGUAGAUAUCUGGAGGAACACCGGUGGCGAAGGCGGCAUCCUGGACCGGUAUUGACGCUGAGGCACGAAAGCCAGGGGAGCAAACGGGA
This 253-nucleotide ribosomal RNA is filed under the name uncultured prokaryote. RNAcentral's name for it is "partial 16S ribosomal RNA". It matches the Rfam family "Bacterial small subunit ribosomal RNA", at positions 525 to 777 of the family's 1533-position model. The record is from RNAcentral.